GAAGGAGCUUGUGAACAAGUUCAUCCCUGAGGUGAUUGGAAAGGAGAUUGAGAAGGCCACCUCAAGCAUCUUCCCGCUCCAGAACGUGUACGUCCGCAAGGUGAAGAUCCUGAAGGCCCCGAAGUUUGACCUGGGAAAGCUCAUGGAGGUAAUUGUCUAAUGGCAUCAUCAUAUUGACUGUAAUUGUUGUUCUCCUUGUGUACUGGAAUUCUAAUGCGGCCCAUGUUUCCUGUUCCAGGUGCACGGUGACUACAAGGAGGAUGUUGGUGUGAAGCUUGACAGGCCUGAUGGAGAUGAGGUCAUUCCUGGUGCGGAGGAGGUUGCUGCUGCUGAGUAGAAAAAUAGAAGUCGCUAUUUUGCUGCUUCUUAUCUAGAAGAUGAUAUAUGUGCCACCUGGGUGUCGUGAACUUUGUAGUCAGUUUUGAUGGC
Molecule: long non-coding RNA, 429 nt
Filed under: Hordeum vulgare
Lineage: Eukaryota; Viridiplantae; Streptophyta; Magnoliopsida; Poales; Poaceae
Description: long non-coding RNA (HVUL_LNC010888)
Source: RNAcentral